Bibersteinia trehalosi is the source of this 114-nucleotide non-coding RNA. NCBI's taxonomy places the organism in Bacteria, Pseudomonadati, Pseudomonadota, Gammaproteobacteria, Pasteurellales, Pasteurellaceae. The record is from Rfam.
GUCCUGAUAUGCUGUUUGAGUAUCCUGAAACGGGCUUUUCAAGAUCAGCAUAUCAAUAACUUUAAAUAAUAGGAGUGCAUAGUGGCCCGUAUUGCAGGCAUUAACAUUCCUGAU